Molecule: ribosomal RNA, 503 nt
Filed under: uncultured bacterium
Lineage: Bacteria
Description: partial 16S ribosomal RNA
Rfam family: Bacterial small subunit ribosomal RNA
Source: RNAcentral
AUUGAACGCUGGCGGCGUGCCUAAUACAUGCAAGUCGAACGAAGAUCUAGCUUGCUAGAUCUUAGUGGCGAACGGGUGAGUAAUACAUAAAUAAUCUGCCCAUAUGACUGGGAUAACUAUUGGAAACGAUAGCUAAUACCGGAUAGGUUGAUUGGAGGCAUCUCUGAUUAAUUAAAGUAGGAUUUCUACACAAAUGGAUGAGUUUAUGGCGCAUUAGUUAGUUGGUGGGGUAACGGCCUACCAAGACGAUGAUGCGUAGCCGACCUGAGAGGGUGACCGGCCACACUGGGACUGAGACACGGCCCAGACUCCUACGGGAGGCAGCAGUAGGGAAUUUUCGGCAAUGGGCGCAAGCCUGACCGAGCAACGCCGCGUGAGUGAUUAAGGCCUUCGGGUUGUAAAGCUCUGUUGUAAGGGAAGAACAUUCAGGAUAGGAAAUGAUCUUGAACUGACGGUACCUUACCAGAAAGCCACGGCUAACUACGUGCCAGCCGCCGCGGUAA